RNAcentral lists this long non-coding RNA (1752 nucleotides) under Sus scrofa (pig). Its description in RNAcentral is "lncRNA (ENSSSCG00050075054.1)". Lineage: Eukaryota; Metazoa; Chordata; Mammalia; Artiodactyla; Suidae. The record is from RNAcentral.
CAUUACCACCGACCAGUCCUCAGCCGGCAACAUGAAGCUGGGUGGCCUCUGCCUCCUGCUCCUCCUCGCCGUCCUUCUCACCCUCAAUGCAGAGCUCCAGGCAGUUGAUGUAGGUAUCUGUGUGACGGAGUGCAAGGUAGACCAGGACUGUGGGGCAGGAAGACGAUGCACCAGCAAUGGAUGUGGCCGGGUCUGCUCCCCAAUCCAGCAAAGAGAGGCCUGCGAGCACCAGUGCAGAGAAGACAGGGACUGUGGGAGUGGACAUCAGUGCGUGAGGAAGGGCUGUGGGCACGUCUGCGCCCCCGUCCAUCAAGUCGAGAUGUAGGUAUCUGUGUGACGGAGUGCCGUGUAGACCAGGACUGUGGGGAAGGAAGACUAUGCAUCAGUAAUGGGUGUGGCCGUGUCUGCUUCCCAGUCCGGCGAAGAGAGGGCUGCGAGCACCAGUGCAGAGAAGACAGGGACUGUGGGAGUGGACAUCAGUGCGUGAGGAAGGGCUGUGGGCACGUCUGCGCCCCCGUCCAUCAAGUCGGUAUCUGUGUGACGGAGUGCAACGUAGACCAGGACUGUGGGGAAGGAAGACAAUGCACCAGCAAUGGGUGUGGCCGUGUCUGCUCCCCAGUCCAGCAAGAAGAUGUAGGUAUCUGUGUGACGGAGUGCAAGGUAGACCAGGACUGUGGGGAAGGAAGACGAUGCACCAGCAAUGGAUGUGGCCGUGUCUGCUCCCCAGUCCAGCAAAAAGAGGCCUGCGAGCACCAGUGCAGAGAAGACAGGGACUGUGGGAGUGGACAUCAGUGCGUGAGGAAGGGCUGUGGGCACGUCUGUGCCCCCGUCCAUCAAGUCGAUGUAGGUAUCUGUGUGACGGAGUGCAAGGUAGACCAGGACUGUGGGGCAGGAAGACGAUGCACCAGCAAUGGAUGUGGCCGUGUCUGCUCCCCAGCCCAGCAAAGAGAGGCCUGCGAGCACCAAUGCAGAGAAGACAAGGACUGUGGGAGUGGACAUCAGUGCGUGAGGAAGGGCUGUGGGCACGUCUGCUCCCCCAUCCCUCAAGUAGGUAUCUGUGUGACGGAGUGCAAUGUAGACCAGGACUGUGGGGCAGGAAGACGAUGCACCAGCAAUGGAUGUGGCCGUGUCUGCUCCCCACCCCAGGGAGGAGGACUCUGUGUGGACCGCUGCCGAGGAAACUGGGACUGUGGGGCCGGAGAAGAAUGUAUCAGGAAGGGAUGUGGACGGGUCUGCUCUCCAGCCCAGGAGCCAGUGGUAGGUAUCUGUGUGGAUCAGUGCCAAAGACACUGGGAAUGUGGUCCACGGAUGCGGUGUGUCUCCACUGGAUGUGGCCACAUCUGCUCACCAGCCCAAGACCAAGUUGAACAGAGACCCGGAAAAUGUCCAGUGUUGCCAAAAGGAACGAUUGGACUUUGUGCUGAAUUUUGCUUCGGGGAUGACUCCUGUCCCAGCGGACAGAAGUGCUGCAGCAAUGGUUGUGGACACUCUUGCCAGACUGCUGUUCCAGACGAGAAAACCUUCCCUAGCCGUUUGGAUGACUGAUGAACCUUGGCCUCCUUCCAUAAUUGUUCCCACAUGUCACCUUUAUUUGAAGAGCUGGGCUUUUCCAGGAACUCCACCUUUGCCAGGAACCCCAGGAUCAUGGGGUGAGGUUCUAGAAUAACUUGGCUUAAGGGUUGAAUUCUGGCAAUUGUUCAAGGAAUAGUGCUUGCAAAGGAUCCUUCUUCUGAAUAAAACGACUUCUCUGGC